RNAcentral lists this ribosomal RNA (484 nucleotides) under uncultured bacterium. RNAcentral's name for it is "partial 16S ribosomal RNA". It matches the Rfam family "Bacterial small subunit ribosomal RNA", at positions 30 to 507 of the family's 1533-position model. The record is from RNAcentral.
AUUGAACGCUGGCGGCAUGCCUAACACAUGCAAGUCGAGCGGAUGAGGGUAGCUUGCUCCUGUAUUCAGCGGCGGACGGGUGUGUAAUGCCUAUGAAUCUGCCUGGUCUUGGGGGAUAACGUCCGGAACCGGGCCCUAAUACCGCAUACGUCCUGCGUUAGAGAGUGGGGGGUCUUCUGACUUCACGCUAUCAGAUGCGCCUAGGGCGGCUUAGCUAGUGGGUGGGGUAAGGGCCUACCAAGGCGACGAUCCGUAACUGGUCUGAGAGGAUGAUCAGUCACAGUGGAAUUGAGACACGGUACAGACUCCUAGGGGAGGCAGCAGUGGGGAAGAUUGGACAAUGGGCGAAAGCUUGAUCAAGCGAUGCCGGGUGUGUGAAGAAGGUCUUCGGAGUGGAAAGCACUUUAAGUGGUGAGGAAGGGCAGUAAGAUGAUCCAUUGCUGUUUUGACGGUACCAGCAGAAUAAGCACCGGCUAACUACGUG